UAAUAAGUGUUUAUGGCACUUCUUAAAUCCAUAUCCACCUUGUGUGCAAUGUCAGCCGUUUUCUUCAUGGAAACGGCCAAACAUCAACUUAUUUUAACUGUUUGUCUGAAAACUAUUAUGAAUAAACAAUUCAAAAUA
This 138-nucleotide unclassified non-coding RNA is filed under the name uncultured Mortierella. RNAcentral describes it as "sequence contains ITS1". Lineage: Eukaryota; Fungi; Mortierellomycota; Mortierellomycetes; Mortierellales; Mortierellaceae. The record is from RNAcentral.